CGCGGAGUAGAGCAGCCUGGUAGCUCGUCGGGCUCAUAACCCGGAGGCCGUGUGGUUCAAAUCCCACCUCCGCAACCA
RNAcentral lists this transfer RNA (78 nucleotides) under Clostridia bacterium. RNAcentral's name for it is "tRNA-Met". It matches the Rfam family "tRNA". From Rfam's summary of the family: Transfer RNA (tRNA) molecules are approximately 80 nucleotides in length. Their secondary structure includes four short double-helical elements and three loops (D, anti-codon, and T loops). RNAcentral also lists the same sequence under 2 other names. Lineage: Bacteria; Bacillati; Bacillota; Clostridia. The record is from RNAcentral.